Molecule: transfer RNA, 76 nt
Filed under: Chitinophagaceae bacterium
Lineage: Bacteria; Pseudomonadati; Bacteroidota; Chitinophagia; Chitinophagales; Chitinophagaceae
Description: tRNA-Ala
Rfam family: tRNA
About the family: Transfer RNA (tRNA) molecules are approximately 80 nucleotides in length. Their secondary structure includes four short double-helical elements and three loops (D, anti-codon, and T loops).
Source: RNAcentral
GGGGCUGUAGCUCAGUUGGGAGAGCGCUGGCUUUGCAAGCCGGAGGUCAUCGGUUCGAUCCCGUUCAGCUCCACGA